RNAcentral lists this ribosomal RNA (324 nucleotides) under uncultured bacterium. Its description in RNAcentral is "bacterial SSU rRNA". It matches the Rfam family "Bacterial small subunit ribosomal RNA", at positions 28 to 334 of the family's 1533-position model. The record is from RNAcentral.
GAUGAACGCUGGCGGCGUGCUUAACACAUGCAAGUCGAACGGAGACAUAUUUUGAAGUUUUCGGAUGGAAAGAUAUGUUCUUAGUGGCGGACGGGUGAGUAAUGUAUGAGCAACCUACCUUUAAGAGGGGGACAACAGUUGGAAACGACUGCUAAUACCGCAUAAGCCCACGGUGCCGCAUGGCACAGCGGGAAAAGGAUUUAUUCGCUUCAGGAUGGACUCGCGUCCAAUUAGCUAGUUGGUGAGGUAACGGCCCACCAAGGCGACGAUUGGUAGCCGGACUGAGAGGUUGAACGGCCACAUUGGGACUGAGACACGGCCCAG